Molecule: ribosomal RNA, 253 nt
Filed under: uncultured bacterium
Lineage: Bacteria
Description: partial 16S ribosomal RNA
Rfam family: Bacterial small subunit ribosomal RNA
Source: RNAcentral
GACGAAGGGGGCUAGCGUUGUUCGGAAUUACUGGGCGUAAAGCGAGUGUAGGUGGUUGUCCAAGUUGGAUGUGAAAGCCUUGAGCUCAACUCAAGAAAUGCAUUCAGGACUGGGCGGCUAGAGGACCGGAGAGGAUAGUGGAACUCCCAGUGUAGUGGUGAAAUACGUAGAGAUUGGGAAGAACACCAGUGGCGAAGGCGGCUAUCUGGACGGUUUCUGACACUAAGACUCGAAAGCGUGGGGAGCAAACAGG